This 988-nucleotide long non-coding RNA is filed under the name Homo sapiens (human). Its description in RNAcentral is "HSALNT0007740". The record is from RNAcentral. Lineage: Eukaryota; Metazoa; Chordata; Mammalia; Primates; Hominidae.
UAAAGCGCGGCCCCUGUAAAGCGCGGCCUGAUUGGCCCUUUGAACCGGGCGUGGGAUUGGCCGUCGCCUGCCCACCCCGCGGCUGCAGCGUUCCCUGGGGCCUAGCCAACCGCGGGCAGGGCUGGGCAAGGCGGGAGGAGCGCGGACCCAAGAUCGGCUACGCUGCGUCUGCUCAGGCUGCGAGUUCCCGGCUCUGGGGACUCACCUUGCGGAGCUUACCCAGGCGGACUCUCCGCAGCCCCUGAUGGGUGUGUGUGUCAGACCGUUUACUAAACACCAGGACUGUUGUAGGCGACUCAGCCGUGUUGAACCAUGAAAGGACCUCAGGAAUGAAACCCACACACAGCAAAGCAACAAAGUGAAAGAAGCGUGGAUUCCUAAUGCAGGAGGCACUGAACCAAUCAAUACCCACUGCCCUCCAGACCUCCACAUGAAAGAAAAAAACUGCUGUCCUGUGAAGAAGACACUCCCCAGAUGCCAGCAACUUGAUAUUGGACUUCCUGCCUUUAGAAACGUGAGAAAUAAAUUUUUUUUCUUUAUAAGUUACCCAGCCUCUGGCAUUCUGUUAUAGCAGCACAGAACAGACUAAGACAGCCACUGAAACCAGAUCUAUGUCCCGGACCACCCUCAUUUGCCUCAAUUUCUCUCUAUAUAUAAUAAGAACAAAUAAUGCAAAUGCUAUCUAUACUUCCCCGUGACUACAGGGAGACUAAGGGAUGAAAUAUAUAAUCACACUUUGAAAAUAUAUAAAUGUUAUCCAACCAUACAUCCAUUGUUUCACAUCAGGCUGGGCCACAUAGCUUCCUCUGUACCCUUUAGUUUCCUGCCCUUAUCUCUAUCACAGGCCAUAUAUCAAAUGCCUAGUAAUUAUCAGUGCAUCUAUAUAUUCCCUAUUCUCCCCAACAAUACAUAAAAGGUUAUUGCAUUGCAUUGAAUUAUAAGACUUGAUUACUGGAAAGUCUAGACAUCACUCAGGGUCAUUGUGGGG